UUGAACGCUGGCGGCAGGCUUAACACAUGCAAGUCGAACGGUAACAUAAAGGAGCUUGCUUCUUUGAUGACGAGUGGCGGACGGGUGAGUAAUGCUUGGGAAUCUAGCUUAUGGAGGGGGAUAACUACGGGAAACUGUAGCUAAUACCGCGUAGAAUCGGGAGAUGAAAGUGUGGGACCUUCGGGCCACAUGCCAUAGGAUGAGCCCAAGUGGGAUUAGGUAGUUGGUGAGGUAAAGGCUCACCAAGCCGACGAUCUCUAGCUGGUCUGAGAGGAUGACCAGCCACACUGGGACUGAGACACGGCCCAGACUCCUACGGGAGGCAGCAGUGGGGAAUAUUGCGCAAUGGGGGCAACCCUGACGCAGCCAUGCCGCGUGAAUGAAGAAGGCCUUCGGGUUGUAAAGUUCUUUCGGUAGCGAGGAAGGCAUUUAGUUUAAUAGACUAGGUGAUUGACGUUAACUACAGAAGAAGCACCGGCUAACUCCGUG
RNAcentral lists this ribosomal RNA (489 nucleotides) under uncultured bacterium. Its description in RNAcentral is "partial 16S ribosomal RNA". It matches the Rfam family "Bacterial small subunit ribosomal RNA", at positions 30 to 507 of the family's 1533-position model. The record is from RNAcentral.